This 73-nucleotide transfer RNA is filed under the name Candidatus Iainarchaeum sp. RNAcentral describes it as "tRNA-Gln". It matches the Rfam family "tRNA". From Rfam's summary of the family: Transfer RNA (tRNA) molecules are approximately 80 nucleotides in length. Their secondary structure includes four short double-helical elements and three loops (D, anti-codon, and T loops). The record is from RNAcentral. Lineage: Archaea; Nanobdellati; Candidatus Iainarchaeota; Candidatus Iainarchaeia; Candidatus Iainarchaeales; Candidatus Iainarchaeaceae.
AGCCCCAUGGUCUAGUGGCCAAGGACUUCAGCCUCUGGAGCUGGAAACGGGAGUUCGAAUCUCCCUGGGGCUA